AGCGAACGCUGGCGGCAGGCUUAACACAUGCAAGUCGAGCGGGCACUUCGGUGUCAGCGGCAGACGGGUGAGUAACACGUGGGAACGUACCCUUCGGUUCGGAAUAACGCUGGGAAACUAGCGCUAAUACCGGAUACGCCCUUUUGGGGAAAGGUUUACUGCCGAAGGAUCGGCCCGCGUCUGAUUAGCUAGUUGGUGGGGUAAUGGCCUACCAAGGCGACGAUCAGUAGCUGGUCUGAGAGGAUGAUCAGCCACACUGGGACUGAGACACGGCCCAGACUCCUCCGGGCGGCCGCCGUGGGGACUCUUGGACAAUGGGCGCAAGCCUGAUCCAGCCAUGCCGCGUGAGUGAUGAAGGCCUUAGGGUUGUAAAGCUCUUUUGUCCGGGACGAUAAUGACGGUACCGGAAGAAUAAGCCCCGGCUCACUUCGUG
Molecule: ribosomal RNA, 433 nt
Filed under: uncultured bacterium
Lineage: Bacteria
Description: partial 16S ribosomal RNA
Rfam family: Bacterial small subunit ribosomal RNA
Source: RNAcentral